This 493-nucleotide unclassified non-coding RNA is filed under the name Zea mays. RNAcentral describes it as "misc RNA Zm00001eb018790". The record is from RNAcentral. Lineage: Eukaryota; Viridiplantae; Streptophyta; Magnoliopsida; Poales; Poaceae.
GUAAAACUGGUAAAUCUUAUUCCAGCUGUUCUGGUGAAGAGAAGAACAAAGUGCACAUAACUGAUAGUGAGGAGGAUGAUGACAGUGAUCUUCUGGGAGAAGAACUUAUGGCUAUGAAAAAUCGUGGAUCUGGAUCAAACAGUCUUACUAUGUGGAAUACUCAGUCUGACCCAGUUGACAACCUGAAUUCUAGGAAUAUAAAUCAUAUUAAAUCUUCUAAAUGCUCUGUCAUCCUUGAGGAACUUGAUACCAAUGAGAAAGGAGUUGAUAAUUCUGAAGAACUGUUUUCUGGUACUCAAGGCAGCUCGAUUGUGAAUGCUUCUCAAGAGGAAGGCGAUGAUCUUUCGGAUCAAAGAAAGAAAACUGAUGGCAUUAUUUAUCAUGAAGGUAAUCAGAAAGUUAUGCCUUCACCCAUCCCGGUGAGAAGGGUCAGUGAACGUCUUAAAAAGGAUAUGGGUAUUAAAAUUGAAGAGAAGAACAGAAGAAUGGCUGU